AAUAUUCAAUCUGCGGACGGAACCAUUUCGUCCUUUGUGUACUCAUCAGCGCAGUUUAAACCAGUGAAUAUUGUAUUUAAUUAUUUAAAGAUUCCCCAAAGGCAGUUCGCCUGUUGCUGCCAGUCUGUCCUUUGCAAGUUUCUGCAUUAUUUCAGUUGCCCAGAGUAGCCGAGAUUAUCGCAGCAGAGAUCCGUGCGGGAGUGAGCUCAUCCUUUUCUCCUCGAUCAGUGCGAUUCUUUUCCGUCCUCACAUCUCCUUUCGUUCAGUUUUGCAGGUGAAGUCAUUGCGAUCUGCAUCUUCAGCCCCAAGGGGCGAUGGGACACCAGCUCAUGCUGGCCCUGCAGCUGCUGCAGCUGCUGAUGCUUUUGCACUACAUCGAUGGCUAUGCGUUACCACAAACCACUUUCACCAGUUACGAGUGUAAGAAUGAUUGCUCAGAAAGAAAGCCGGAAGUAUACU
Molecule: long non-coding RNA, 459 nt
Organism: Sycon ciliatum
Lineage: Eukaryota; Metazoa; Porifera; Calcarea; Leucosolenida; Sycettidae
Exons: 4
Source: RefSeq, a predicted model, not a curated record